GAACACCGGUUCUUGUCCGAUCACCGAAGUUAAGCAACGUUGAGCCUGCUCAGUACCUAGAUGGGUGACGGCUCGAGAAUACCAGGUUCUGUAAG
Non-coding RNA from Acanthosepion pharaonis, 95 nucleotides. NCBI's taxonomy places the organism in Eukaryota, Metazoa, Mollusca, Cephalopoda, Sepiida, Sepiidae. The record is from the annotation of a GenBank genome assembly.